UACAGAGGUCUCAAGCGUUGUUCGGAUUCAUUGGGCGUAAAGGGUGUGUAGGUGGCGCCGUAAGUCGGGUGUGAAAUUUCGGAGCUUAACUCCGAAACUGCAUUCGAUACUGCGGUGCUUGAGGACUGGAGAGGAGACUGGAAUUCAUGGUGUAGCAGUGAAAUGCGCAGAUAUCAGGAGGAACACCGGUGGCGAAGGCGGGUCGCUGGGCCGUAACUGACGCUGAGGAGCGAAAGCGUGGGGAGCGAACAGG
Molecule: ribosomal RNA, 253 nt
Filed under: uncultured bacterium
Lineage: Bacteria
Description: partial 16S ribosomal RNA
Rfam family: Bacterial small subunit ribosomal RNA
Source: RNAcentral